GAGGGUGAGAGUCCUGCUUGGCAUCUGCAGUCCCCAGUGUACGGUGUUCCUUCUACGAGUCACGUUCCUUGGGAUUGGAGCGCAAAGUCGGUGGUAAGUUUCAUCUAAAGCUAAAUAUUGCUUUGGGACCGAUAGCGAACAAGUACCUUGAGGGAAAGGUGAAAAGGACUUUGAAAAGAGAGUUAAAAGUGCCUGAACUUGCUGAAAGGGAAGCGAAUGGAACCAGUCCCACGUGGCAAGAUUGUUGCACGCCAGAAUGAGCGUCUGUUACCUCAGCGCAAGCGGGGCUGCAGGCUUUGAGGAGGAUGUGUGCUAUGUUUCUUGCCCUUCUGCCCACGCCUGUUCACAGCUGAGGAAAACUGCAGGGACGUGGAAACUUGCCUCUCGGUGAGUGGAAGUCUUUGUGGGAACUCACUUGUGGACUGGCUGGUGGCUGAAUGGUUCCAUCUGACCCGUCUUGAAACACGGACCAAGGAGUCUAACAUGUGUGCAUGUUCACGGGUGGCCAAACCUGCUUGCGCAAUGAAGGUGACUGCUGCGAUCCUUGCACCAGCAACCGACCAAUCAAUUGGGAGAGGUUUGAGUACGAGCACAUCUGUUAGGACCCGAAAGAUGGUGAACUAUGCCUGUGCAAGGCAAACUCAGGGGAAACUCUGAUGGAGGCCUGCAGCGAUACUGACGUGCAAAUC
RNAcentral lists this ribosomal RNA (689 nucleotides) under Pachena abriliae. RNAcentral's name for it is "partial large subunit ribosomal RNA". It matches the Rfam family "Eukaryotic large subunit ribosomal RNA", at positions 208 to 899 of the family's 3401-position model. The record is from RNAcentral. Lineage: Eukaryota; Dinophyceae; Thoracosphaerales; Thoracosphaeraceae.